RNAcentral lists this ribosomal RNA (270 nucleotides) under uncultured Acetobacter sp. RNAcentral describes it as "partial 16S ribosomal RNA". It matches the Rfam family "Bacterial small subunit ribosomal RNA", at positions 29 to 324 of the family's 1533-position model. Lineage: Bacteria; Pseudomonadati; Pseudomonadota; Alphaproteobacteria; Acetobacterales; Acetobacteraceae. The record is from RNAcentral.
AGCGAACGCUGGCGGCAUGCUUAACACAUGCAAGUCGCACGAAGGUUUCGGCCUUAGUGGCGGACGGGUGAGUAACGCGUAGGAAUCUAUCCAUGGGUGGGGGAUAACUCUGGGAAACUGGAGCUAAUACCGCAUGAUACCUGAGGGUCAAAGGCGCAAGUCGCCUGUGGAGGAGCCUGCGUUCGAUUAGCUUGUUGGUGGGGUAAUGGCCUACCAAGGCGAUGAUCGAUAGCUGGUCUGAGAGGAUGAUCAGCCACACUGGGACUGAGA